RNAcentral lists this ribosomal RNA (430 nucleotides) under Bacteroidota bacterium. RNAcentral describes it as "Bacteroidetes bacterium partial 16S ribosomal RNA". It matches the Rfam family "Bacterial small subunit ribosomal RNA", at positions 355 to 776 of the family's 1533-position model. Lineage: Bacteria; Pseudomonadati; Bacteroidota. The record is from RNAcentral.
UAGGGAAUCUUCGGCAAUGGGGGGAACCCUGACCGAGCAACGCCGCGUGAGUGAAGAAGGUUUUCGGAUCGUAAAGCUCUGUUGUUAAGGAAGAACGAGUGUGAGAAUGGAAAGUUCAUACUGUGACGGUACUUAACCAGAAAGGGACGGCUAACUACGUGCCAGCAGCCGCGGUAAUACGUAGGUGGCAAGCGUUGUCCGGAUUUAUUGGGCGUAAAGCGAGCGCAGGCGGUCAAUUAAGUCUGAUGUGAAAGCCCCCGGCUCAACCGGGGAGUGUCAUUGGAAACUGGUUUACUUGAGUGCAGAAGAGGAGAGUGGAAUUCCAUGUGUAGCGGUGAAAUGCGUAGAUAUAUGGAGGAACACCAGUGGCGAAGGCGACUCUCUGGUCUGUAACUGACGCUGAGGCUCGAAAGCGUGGGUAGCAAACAGG